ACCGGGGUAGGCAAAUUGGCAAAGCCGCCGGCAUGAGAGGUCGGUGUUUGCGGGUUCGAAUCCCGUCUCCGGUA
RNAcentral lists this transfer RNA (74 nucleotides) under Myxococcales bacterium. RNAcentral describes it as "tRNA-Leu". It matches the Rfam family "tRNA". Rfam says of the family: Transfer RNA (tRNA) molecules are approximately 80 nucleotides in length. Their secondary structure includes four short double-helical elements and three loops (D, anti-codon, and T loops). Further hydrogen bonds mediate the characteristic L-shaped molecular structure. tRNAs have two regions of fundamental functional importance: the anti-codon, which is responsible for specific mRNA codon recognition, and the 3' end, to which the tRNAs corresponding amino acid is attached (by aminoacyl-tRNA synthetases). tRNAs cope with the degeneracy of the genetic code in two manners: having more than one tRNA (with a specific anti-codon) for a particular amino acid; and 'wobble' base-pairing, i.e. permitting non-standard base-pairing at the 3rd anti-codon position. The record is from RNAcentral. Lineage: Bacteria; Pseudomonadati; Myxococcota; Myxococcia; Myxococcales.